AGCAGCCGCGGUAAUUCCAGCUCCAAUAGCGUAUAUUAAAGUUGCUGCAGUUAAAAAGCUCGUAGUUGAAUUUCGGGAUCAAUUUGUUGGUCGUGCCUUGGUACGUACUAGCUUAUUGGUUUCUCCCUUCUGACGAACCAUGAUGUCAUUUAUUUGGUGUUGUGGGGAAUCAGGACUGUUACUUUGAAAAAUUAGAGUGUUUAAAGCAGGCUCACGCUUGAAUACAUUAGCAUGGAAUAAUGAAAUAGGACGUUUGAUUCUAUUUUGUUGGUUUCUAGGAUCGACGUAAUGAUUAAUAGGGAUAGUUGGGGGCAUUAGUAUUCAAUUGUCAGAGGUGAAAUUCUUGGAUUUAUUGAAGACUAACUACUGCGAAAGCAUUUGCCAAGGAUGUUUUCAUUAAUCAAGAACGAAAGUUAGGGGAUCGAAGACGAUCAGAUACCGUCGUAGUCUUAACCAUAAACUAUGCCGACUAGGGAUCGGAUGAUGUUAAUUUUUAAUGUACUCAUUCGGCGCCUUAAC
RNAcentral lists this ribosomal RNA (519 nucleotides) under uncultured Glomus. RNAcentral's name for it is "SSU rRNA". It matches the Rfam family "Eukaryotic small subunit ribosomal RNA", at positions 569 to 1092 of the family's 1831-position model. The record is from RNAcentral. Lineage: Eukaryota; Fungi; Glomeromycota; Glomeromycetes; Glomerales; Glomeraceae.